UACAGAGGGUGCGAGCGUUAAUCGGAAUUACUGGGCGUAAAGCGCACGUAGGUGGCGACGUAAGUCGGGUGUGAAAGCCCCGGGCUCAACCUGGGAAUUGCAUUCGAGACUGCAUUGCUGGAGUACGGAAGAGGAAGGCGGAAUUCCCGGUGUAGCGGUGAAAUGCGUAGAUAUCGGGAGGAACAUCAGUGGCGAAGGCGGCCUUCUGGUCCAGUACUGACACUGAGGCACGAAAGCGUGGGGAGCAAACAGG
RNAcentral lists this ribosomal RNA (253 nucleotides) under uncultured bacterium. RNAcentral describes it as "partial 16S ribosomal RNA". It matches the Rfam family "Bacterial small subunit ribosomal RNA", at positions 524 to 776 of the family's 1533-position model. The record is from RNAcentral.